Molecule: ribosomal RNA, 382 nt
Filed under: uncultured eukaryote
Lineage: Eukaryota
Description: partial 18S ribosomal RNA
Rfam family: Eukaryotic small subunit ribosomal RNA
Source: RNAcentral
CAAUAGCGUAUAUUAAAGUUGUUGCAGUUAAAAAGCUCGUAGUUGGAUUUCUGGUUGAAGCGACCGGUCGGGCGUUGAUUCGUCUGCACUGGAGUCGGUUUUGGCCAUCCUCUAGGAAAGUGCGUCUGGUAUUAAGUUAUCGGGCGUAUGAUCCUGGUCUUUUGCUGUGAAAAAAUUAGAGUGUUUAAAGCAGGCCUUCGCCUUGAAUACAUUAGCAUGGAAUAAUAAGAUAGGACUUUGGUCUAUUUUGUUGGUUUGCAGACCGAAGUAAUGAUUAAUAGGGAUAGUUGGGGGUAUUUAUAUUCCGAUGUCAGAGGUGAAAUUCUUAGAUUUUCGGAAGAUAAACUUAUGCGAAAGCAUUUACCAAGGAUGUUUUCAUUAA